GCCUGGGUGGCUCAGUCGGUUGAGCAUCUGACUUUGGCUCAGGUCACGAUCUCACGGUUUGUGAGUUCAAGCCCCGCAUCAGGCU
RNAcentral lists this transfer RNA (85 nucleotides) under Felis catus (domestic cat). It matches the Rfam family "tRNA". Rfam says of the family: Transfer RNA (tRNA) molecules are approximately 80 nucleotides in length. Their secondary structure includes four short double-helical elements and three loops (D, anti-codon, and T loops). The record is from Rfam by way of RNAcentral. Lineage: Eukaryota; Metazoa; Chordata; Mammalia; Carnivora; Felidae.